Small nuclear RNA from Otolemur garnettii (small-eared galago), 135 nucleotides. Its record names the gene U4. It matches the Rfam family "U4 spliceosomal RNA". Rfam says of the family: U4 small nuclear RNA (U4 snRNA) is a component of the major U2-dependent spliceosome. The record is from Ensembl. Lineage: Eukaryota; Metazoa; Chordata; Mammalia; Primates; Galagidae.
AGCUUUGCACAGUGGCACUACCACAGCCAAUGAGGUUCAUCUGAGACAUGAUUGUUGCUAGUUGAAAAAUACCAGAAAUACUUACGUAACUACUUUAGAUGUGUUCCAUUUUAUGGUUAAGUCACAUCAGCAACU